RNAcentral lists this ribosomal RNA (484 nucleotides) under Yarrowia lipolytica. RNAcentral's name for it is "eukaryotic LSU rRNA". It matches the Rfam family "Eukaryotic large subunit ribosomal RNA", at positions 61 to 507 of the family's 3401-position model. Lineage: Eukaryota; Fungi; Ascomycota; Dipodascomycetes; Dipodascales. The record is from RNAcentral.
GAAACCAACAGGGAUUGCCUCAGUAACGGCGAGUGAAGCGGCAAAAGCUCAAAUUUGAAACCCUCGGGAUUGUAAUUUGAAGAUUUGGCAUUGGAGAAAGCUAACCCAAGUUGCUUGGAAUAGUACGUCAUAGAGGGUGACAACCCCGUCUGGCUAACCGUUCUCCAUGUAUUGCCUUAUCAAAGAGUCGAGUUGUUUGGGAAUGCAGCUCAAAGUGGGUGGUAAACUCCAUCUAAAGCUAAAUACUGGUGAGAGACCGAUAGCGAACAAGUACUGUGAAGGAAAGGUGAAAAGAACUUUGAAAAGAGAGUGAAAUAGUAUGUGAAAUUGUUGAUAGGGAAGGAAAUGAGUGGAGAGUGGCCGAGGUUUCAGCCGCCCCUCGUGGGCGGUGUACUGCCGACGCCGAGUCAUCGAUAGCGAGACGAGGGUUACAAAUGGGAGCGCCUUCGGGCGUUCUCCCCUAACCCUCCACACUGCCNCCGAC